Gallus gallus (chicken) is the source of this 716-nucleotide long non-coding RNA. RefSeq lists it as uncharacterized. Lineage: Eukaryota; Metazoa; Chordata; Aves; Galliformes; Phasianidae. The transcript has 4 exons. The record is from RefSeq and is a predicted model, not a curated record.
CUUGGCCUUUCUGUAAAACCAUCCACCCACAGUCUUACAAAACCAAGCCGUCAGAGCACUGACGUGGUGUGGCUUGGAGGGACAAAUCAUUUUGUGUUCUCCACUGAUCUUUCAGCAAGACCUGUCCAUUCCUGCUCCUCUUCUCAGCACCUAGAGACAAGCCAACUUCUCUACUCUCUGGGAAGUUAAGGAUGUGCAGGAUUGCUCCAUUGGAUGGACCAGACGUGUGCAAUGAAGGAAAAUGCUACUACUGGGAUUGGUCUUGCAGACUGACAACACAAGAAUAUGCUUAAUUUGUGAACAGGAGCUGCUGUGCAGAUGGGCUGAGUUGGUGUCCUUGCUGCAGGAAAUGGCUGAGCUUGUGAAGCACCAGAGUGUUAGCAAGACAAACAUCAAGAAGAUCCAAAUCCUUUGCUUUUGCAGCAGAGCAGAAAGACUAAACAGAAAGUAAGUCCCAGAUCUGGGCUAUAGCUGAAGAGUGAGUAAAUCCAUCAUCCAGUCAUUACCGAGAGGCUGUGAUCUACACUUAGCCAUCUGAAUGAUGCCUCUGCUGGAGUGUUCAAGUUGGGAGCACUGCUACCCUGGGAUCCCACAGUGGAGACAGCUGGGCAUGUCUGGGAAGUAAAUCCCACCUUAAAUCACUGAUCAGACUUGCCCAGAUCUGUGCAAUCACCGGGGAGGGACCUGGCAGGCUGAGUAAAAUGUUCAACAUUGAA